Molecule: long non-coding RNA, 148 nt
Organism: Chiroxiphia lanceolata (lance-tailed manakin)
Lineage: Eukaryota; Metazoa; Chordata; Aves; Passeriformes; Pipridae
Exons: 3
Source: RefSeq, a predicted model, not a curated record
AUUACUGGUUAGGGUGGGUAAGACUGUCUUAUAGGUGACAUCUGGGUGAGUAGGGAGCGGGGGGAAGCUAUCUUUCUUGGGUCUUUUGUGCACUUUUUCCUCCGCCCUAAUCCUUUUUCCCUCAGGCACCUGUUUUUCCCCCUUUUCC